AAAAGGCUAAAGGGAUGAGGUGGUGGAGUAGGAAAAGGCUAGAGGAAUGAGGUGGGGGAGUAGGACAAGGCUAAAGGGAUGAGGUGGUGGAGUAGGAAAAGGCUAAAGGGAUGAGGUGGGGUUAGUAGGACAAGGCUAAAGGAAUGAGGUGGGAGAGUAGGACAAUGCUAGAGGAAUGAGGUGGGGGAGUAGAACAACGCUAGAGGAAUGAGGUGGGGGAGUAGAACAACGCUAGAGGAAUGAGGUGGGGUAGUAGGACAACGCUAAAGGAAUAAGGUGGGGGAGUAGCACAAGGCUAAAGGAAUGAGGUGGGGGAGUAGGACAAGGAUAAAGGAAGGAGGUGGGACAGUAGGGCAAGGCUAAAGGGAUGAGGUGGGGGAGUAGGGCAAGGCUAAAGGGAUGAGGUGGGAAAGUAGGGCAAGGCCAAAGGGAUGAGGUGGGACAGUAGGGCAAGGCUAAAGGGAUGAGGUGGGGGAGUAGGGCAAGACUAAAGGGAUGAGGUGGAGGAGUCAGUGCGACAGGUUUAAUCCCCUCCUCUAUCUCCAUCCACAACACCCUAGCAAGCUGCAAGCCUACUAGAUGGUAAUAGGCACUCAAGUUGCCCCUAGGGGACGGUCUUGAAGGCAUCUCCCGACAUCCUACGGACCUGGGCAAACGUUGAAUACUGAAAUCUAUCUUGUGUGACCUGGCUGGUAUAGGGAUAAGGAGGGGAGCCAGACAAGCUCAUGCACAUUACUGUAUAAUAUGCUAUUUAUUUGUAAUAAUAAUGAAGAUGCGAUUUCCUUCACAUUGAUUAUGAAUUAUUAUAUUAACUAUAACACAAGAAAGUGAGAAAAUGUCCAGUGAAGUUGGGUGACACUGAACACAUACACACACCAACACAAGCCCUUGACUACCCCUUGAAUCAGGGGUGUUAAUGUUGGUUCUGGAACAAAUAUGUGCAGGCUUGGGAAAUCCCCUACACUAGAGUGAAGUCCAGCCUGGCUACUAUGGCAACCAUUCUGUUCCUUAAACUCUGAGGUCAGCCCUUUCUUUCACCCAUAAUUCCCUGUUUCAGGAGGAGCGAGCGGCCGUUUCCAGCCGGUCAGUCCCCAUCAGUGUCCCUGCCAAGCCCACAAUAAACUGUGGCUAAAAGUUGUGUGUUUCAUAUCCCUUCCCUCCUUGACACAAAUGGCCCCUGUCAGACAGAGGAAAAUGGUUUCUACCCUGCGUCCUUCAUUUUACUUGCAAAAACAUGGCAGCUCUUUAACUAAAUACAACAUAAACUAAAUGCCUGAGACGUGUGUGUGUAUGUUCCUUUUUGGAAAAACGACAUGAAUUUCACGUGAUCACGUGUUUU
Molecule: long non-coding RNA, 1339 nt
Organism: Oncorhynchus tshawytscha (Chinook salmon)
Lineage: Eukaryota; Metazoa; Chordata; Actinopteri; Salmoniformes; Salmonidae
Source: Ensembl